This 371-nucleotide ribosomal RNA is filed under the name uncultured organism. RNAcentral describes it as "bacterial SSU rRNA". It matches the Rfam family "Bacterial small subunit ribosomal RNA", at positions 526 to 896 of the family's 1533-position model. The record is from RNAcentral.
CGUAGGGUGCGAGCGUUAGUCGGAAUUACUGGGCGUAAAGCGUGCGCAGGCGGUUUAGUAAGACAGGCGUGAAAUCCCCGGGCUCAACCUGGGAACUGCGCUUGUGACUGCUAAGCUAGAGUACGGCAGAGGGGGUGGAAUUCCACGUGUAGCAGUGAAAUGCGUAGAGAUGUGGAGGAACACCAAUGGCGAAGGCAGCCCCCUGGGUCGAUACUGACGCUCAUGCACGAAAGCGUGGGUAGCAAACAGGCUUAGAUACCCUGGUAGUCCACGCCCUAAACGAUGUCAACUAGGUGUUGGGAGGGUAAAACCUUUUAGUACCGGAGCUAACGCGUGAAGUUGACCGCCUGGGGAGUACGGCCGCAAGGUUA